Hydractinia symbiolongicarpus is the source of this 3186-nucleotide RNA transcript. It is a transcript of the gene named tRNA-dihydrouridine(20) synthase [NAD(P)+]-like, with no coding region annotated. The transcript has 18 exons. NCBI's taxonomy places the organism in Eukaryota, Metazoa, Cnidaria, Hydrozoa, Anthoathecata, Hydractiniidae. The record is from RefSeq and is a predicted model, not a curated record.
AAAAACAACAAUAUUAAAAUUUAAUUUAUUUUUUUUACUAUAUAAUAUAUUUAGUGAUUGUGUAUAUACUGAAUUGUAAUUAUGUUAUAUAAAAAAGUAUCAUUUGAGUAGUUUACAGACCAUUUUGCUUCAAAGAUAUUUAUCUUAUAAAAUAUUAAUAUUUUUUUAAGCAUUCUCUGUGUGUCUGAUGUUUUGUUCACGCAACGUUAGAUAAAAAAGCAAUAAUGAGACUUGAAUUUGUCAUAUACAAGUUAUGUUGUAACGUGUUUUACAACUUUCUUGUUUAUAAAAAUUGCCAGAAAAGUUAUUGAGCAAUGUUAUAUUUCUAGUGGUUGUGGUUGGUGCUUUUGUAGUUCUCUUAGGAUUGUUCAUUGUUCUGAAAAUCAUUGUCUUAGGCGUUCAUUAGAAAUUCUAACUUUAAAGGGUUGCUUAUUUAGCAGCUGUGCUUAUUUGGCGGAAAAACUUACAAAUGGGAGUCAAGAACUAGAGAAAAAAAUUUGAUGUCAAUUAGCAUGUGGGAAACAUGCUUAUAUCACGCCAAUAUCAAUUUUAUUUAUAUUUUGUAUUAAAUAAGCUUUUGAUGAGAGGAAUGUAUAUUCGGCAGGGUUUGUUUAGCAGAGGGUUCUUGUUCAAUCAUAUACAGUAAGGUAACACCACUUAACCAUUUGGAUUUUCUUUCUUUCUUUAUAAAUUAACUAAAUUAACUAACAGUUUAACCUUGUUUUCAAUUUGUUUUAAGUUGUAUACUUCUUUUAAGAUGAAUAUAAUAAACUCAAGGUAUAAAAGUACUUUGCAAAACUGAGCAGUUUUGAUUGGUUGGUAACAAUGCCACUGUCAUAUUCAAAUAAGCUCAUGCUGGCUCCAAUGGUUAGGGUUGGUACAUUACCCAUGAGGCUGUUGGCAUUGCGAUAUGGUGCAGAUAUUGUGUAUGGUGAGGAAAUUAUUGAUCAUAAAAUGAUUCAUUGCACUCGAGUUCAAAACAAGCUGCUUGGCACUGUCGACUAUUUAGCAUCUGAUGGUACUGUAGUGUUUCGUACUUGUGAGGAGGAAAAAGAAAAAUUGAUAUUUCAAAUGGGAACUUGUGAUCCUGAACGAGGAUUAAAAGUUGCUAAAAUGCUAGAAAAAGAUGUAUCAGGUAUCGAUAUCAACAUGGGAUGUCCAAAAGAGUUUUCAAUCAAGGGUGGCAUGGGUGCUGCACUUCUCACUCAACCUGAAAAAAUAAAAAAGAUUUUGACUACUCUUGUCGCUGGUCUCGCUAUACCAGUCACAUGCAAGAUAAGAAUUUUGCCUGAGGUAGCAGCAACAUUAGAAUUGGUGAAGGCAAUCGAGACAACUGGAGUGAAAGCUCUCGGUGUCCAUGGACGGUGGAAAGAAGAACGCUCUACAUCUCCUUGUCAUUGCGAUUAUAUAAAAAAGAUUUCAGAAGUCAUCAGCAUACCACUCAUCGCGAAUGGAGGGUCGAAUAUUAUCAACACCUACGAAGAUAUUGAGAAGUUCAAGGAGAAAACUAAGUGUAAUUCAGUAAUGCUUGCACGUGCAGCGAUGUGGAACCCAUCAAUUUUUAGGAAAGAAGGUCUACUUCCUGUGCAAGAUGUAGCUAAAGAAUAUGUCAAACUAGCAAUCGACUACGAUAGUUAUCCCACUAAUUUGAAAUAUGUGUUGUGUAAAAUGCUCGGUGAUACUACGCGUGAUGAGAUUGGUCGCAAAGUGCAAUCCGCGCGUGAUUUUCAAGACAUUAGUGCAGCAUAUGGACUUGAAGAGUAUCGACAAAAAGUUGUAACUGAAAGAAAUAUUUUAAAACUAAAGCUACUGCAAGAAGAUGAUGGCCAACCUGACGCUAAACGACAGAAAUUAGAUGAUAAAAUUGCAUUGGAUGUCGCGUUUAACCGAAAGUUAUAUCCGAAAACCAUGAGUCCAGUGCAACUGUUGUAUGAACACUGUCGGAGAAAGAGCAUAAAACAGCCAGUUUUCAACACGGUGAUGAAUGUUGACAAGCUGUUUAAAUCUGAAGUACUCGUUGAUGGUCGAAUCUAUACUCCUCUACUAUGAGCCAAUUUGAAGAAUUUUCUUGCUGAUUUGUUUUGCAAACGAACGAAGUCCUUUUUGCUGGUCUGCCCAAAGUGAAAUAAAGUGUACCCCUUUUGAAAGACGUAAAAAAUCUGCUGAACAAGCAGCUGCGAUUGUUUACUUGCAAUACCAUAAUAUUCACGAUGGGCGAGUCAAAAGCUGAUUGAACAAUCGAGUCUACAAAAGGUGAAUUGUGUUAGAGUUUCAACCUUUCCUGUAUUCUACUUUUUGAGAAGCAUGGAACGGGUUGAUGUUUACAACAUUUCAAGUUGAUACAGCCGUAGGAAAACUAGUGAAAAAGCCAUUACUGUUGCAAUAAAAGCCUUUUUUCUGGUUUACCGUCCUACGUCUUGGCUUGAAAAGGAGGUUUACGUACAGAAAAAUACAGAUUACAGUUUAUUUAUUUGAUAUGUGGUUUCUAUUUAAUAAUUAUAUUUAUAAACAUGUACUCAUUUAAGUAUCUUGACUACCAUUAAUGCUCGAUGAAGCGCCCAUUUAAAGAUGGGUGAUUUUUUCGAGAGGGGCGGUAAAUAGAGAUGGGCGCUUAUAUAAAAAAUCUCAUUUUUGUGUUAUAUAAAAUCUUUCUUUUUAGGGAAGUAAGUGUCGCAAAAUGUAAUAAUAGAAAAUAUGUAUGACCAGUUAUAAUAUCUGUAAGCGUAGAUGUUCAUGUUCAAAUUUCUGCCAUGUCAAUAAAUUAAAACUGCUUAAACGAAAAGAUAUAAAUAUUCUGACAUGAAAUUUUAUGUGUUGAUGGUUUUAAGAAAAAAACUGUUUUUGAGUAAAAGGUCGUUUUUUUCUAAUGUCCAAAAUAUUUAAACAAGCGCGCCCUUUGGCUCGAGUAAAACCGCCCCUGGGCGCUUAUUCAAGAGUGGGCGCCUAAUCGAUCGUUUUUGGUAUGUCAUUUAUUUGAUACAAGUAAAAUUAAAAUAAUGCAGCUUGUCAGUUAUAUAGAAUACGAGAAAAGUCUUGUACGUCAGUUAUCAGCAAACAUAAUUUUAUAUUUUUAUUACGAAAUAUCAUCGAAAACCAAUGUCAUAUACAUAUAGGACAUAUGUAUUGGGCAGACCCUUAAAUGCUUUUUAGACUCCUUAUUGAAGAAAUAAUAUCUUCAAAAGCCAA